This 253-nucleotide ribosomal RNA is filed under the name uncultured bacterium. Its description in RNAcentral is "partial 16S ribosomal RNA". It matches the Rfam family "Bacterial small subunit ribosomal RNA", at positions 524 to 776 of the family's 1533-position model. The record is from RNAcentral.
UACGUAGGGACCAAGCGUUGUUCGGAUUUACUGGGCGUAAAGGGCGCGUAGGCGGCGCAAUAAGUCACUUGUGAAAUCUCCGGGCUUAACUCGGAGCGGCCAAGUGAUACUGUUGUGCUAGAGUGCAGAAGGGGCAACUGGAAUUCUCGGUGUAGCGGUGAAAUGCGUAGAUAUCGAGAGGAACACCUGCGGCGAAGGCGGGUUGCUGGGCUGACACUGACGCUGAGGCGCGAAAGCCAGGGGAGCGAACGGG